UACGUAGGUGGCAAGCGUUGUCCGGAUUUAUUGGGCUUAAAGGGUGCGUAGGCGGCUUUGUAAGUCAGUGGUGAAAUAUGGCAGCUCAACUGUCAAGGUGCCAUUGAUACUGCGGAGCUUGAGUACAGAUGAGGUAGGCGGAAUUGACGGUGUAGCGGUGAAAUGCUUAGAUAUCGUCAAGAACACCUAUAGCGAAGGCAGCUUACUAGGCUGUAACUGACGCUGAGGCACGAAAGUGUGGGGAUCAAACAGG
This 253-nucleotide ribosomal RNA is filed under the name uncultured bacterium. RNAcentral describes it as "partial 16S ribosomal RNA". It matches the Rfam family "Bacterial small subunit ribosomal RNA", at positions 524 to 776 of the family's 1533-position model. The record is from RNAcentral.